AAAGAAAAUCAGUUUAUGAGACCUAACACAUUAAAUACCAAAAUUCUAAAUCAACUGAUUUGGGUUUCAUCAUCAUUCAAAUCGCUUCAAAAUUUUCAGAUUCACGACAACCCAAAUACUCAAUACACCAAAAACAUUAACUAAUCUAGAUAUAGAGUACAUACCAUAGAAAGCAAAACCAAAAAAAAUUGGUUUCAGACUAUAAUCAAACAUUUAUGUACCCUUAACAAGUAUGACAUCGCCUCGUGGCUAAAAGAAGUGGAUCUGCAAAUAACUUUAGAGGAUUUAGUUGCUCAACUUAGGUUUUGUGUAGUUCAUCUAAACCGACAAAAACGUUAUAGAUUAAAAAAGACUAGGGAUUUAGAUCUUACAGAAUGAGAGAAUAGAGAAGAAUGAGAGAUUUGUGUAACUUGUGUU
This 417-nucleotide long non-coding RNA is filed under the name Capsella grandiflora. RNAcentral's name for it is "long non-coding RNA (CGRA_LNC000502)". Lineage: Eukaryota; Viridiplantae; Streptophyta; Magnoliopsida; Brassicales; Brassicaceae. The record is from RNAcentral.